AGUGAACGCUGGCGGUAGGCCUAACACAUGCAAGUCGAACGGCAGCACAGUAAGAGCUUGCUCUGACGGGUGGCGAGUGGCGGACGGGUGAGGAAUACAUCGGAAUCUACUUGUUCGUGGGGGAUAACGUAGGGAAACUUACGCUAAUACCGCAUACGACCUACGGGUGAAAGCAGGGGAUCUUCGGACCUUGCGCGAGUGAAUGAGCCGAUGUCGGAUUAGCUAGUUGGCGGGGUAAAGGCCCACCAAGGCGACGAUCCGUAGCUGGUCUGAGAGGAUGAUCAGCCACACUGGAACUGAGACACGGUCCAGACUCCUACGGGAGGCAGCAGUGGGGAAUAUUGGACAAUGGGCGCAAGCCUGAUCCAGCCAUACCGCGUGGGUGAAGAAGGCCUUCGGGUUGUAAAGCCCUUUUGUUGGGAAAGAAAAGCAGCAGGUUAAUACCCCGCUGUUAUGACGGUACCCAAAGAAUAAGCACCGGCUAACUUCGUG
RNAcentral lists this ribosomal RNA (492 nucleotides) under uncultured bacterium. RNAcentral's name for it is "partial 16S ribosomal RNA". It matches the Rfam family "Bacterial small subunit ribosomal RNA", at positions 29 to 507 of the family's 1533-position model. The record is from RNAcentral.